Molecule: ribosomal RNA, 304 nt
Filed under: uncultured bacterium
Lineage: Bacteria
Description: partial 16S ribosomal RNA
Rfam family: Bacterial small subunit ribosomal RNA
Source: RNAcentral
CAGCAGCAGCCGCGGGAAUACAGAGGGUGCGAGCGUUAAUCGGAUUUACUGGGCGUAAAGCGUGCGUAGGCGGCUAAUUGAGUCGGAUGUGAAAUCCCCGAGCUUAACUUGGGAAUUGCAUUCGAUACUGGUUAGCUAGAGUGUGGGAGAGGAUGGUAGAAUUCCAGGUGUAGCGGUGAAAUGCGUAGAGAUCUGGAGGAAUACCGAUGGCGAAGGCAGCCAUCUGGCCUAACACUGACGCUGAGGUACGAAAGCAUGGGGAGCAAACAGGAUUAGAUACCCCGGUAGUCCCUGUCUCUUAUAA